Molecule: transfer RNA, 77 nt
Filed under: Mesosutterella sp.
Lineage: Bacteria; Pseudomonadati; Pseudomonadota; Betaproteobacteria; Burkholderiales; Sutterellaceae
Also listed under: 2 other names
Description: tRNA-Pro
Rfam family: tRNA
About the family: Transfer RNA (tRNA) molecules are approximately 80 nucleotides in length.
Source: RNAcentral
CGGGGUGUGGCGCAGCCUGGUAGCGCACUUGCAUGGGGUGCAAGGGGUCGUGAGUUCGAAUCCCACCACCCCGACCA